CAUCCCAUAGUCCAGAUGUGGUGGCUAUACCUGCAAUCCCAGAACUGGGUCCAGGAGUUGGAAGUAGGAAGAUAGAAGUUCGAGGUCAUCCUUAGUCAUAUACUAAGUUGGAGGCUAGCCUGUGCUACAAGACCAUUUCAAAAACUGAAACCGAGAGGGGCUACUGAUUGGUAUCCUAGGGGGUCAUUGUCACAGGUCACAAUUUGUCACAAUUUGAGAUUUGCUCACACACCUUUGGCCCUAUGAUGACAGUCCUGUAGCACUUAGCCUUGAACUGUAGGCCUGCCCUGUGCUCCCCUAGGCCGUGCUGAUCCCAAGCAGCUGCCAAGACAGACAUGGGCGCAGGCUUCUCUGCGCAUGCACUAACCAGCUCACUCUCCUUUCUUCUCUCUCUCUCUCUCUCCCCAUCUCCCGUCCUGUGUGUGCAUUUGUGCGUGUGGCCUGCACUACCCCUGGGUGUCUCUCAACCUCGUCCCGCCCUCCUCCGCAUGACCAGGACGGGGCUCUUCACCCCCGACAUGGCCUUUGAAGCCAUCGUGAAAAAACAACUUGUAAAGCUCAAAGAGCCGAGUUUGAAGUGUGUUGACCUGGUGGUGUCGGAGCUAGCCACGGUCAUUAAAAAGUGUGCUGAGAAGCUCAGUUCCUACCCCCGCCUUCGAGAGGAGACCGAACGCAUUGUCACCACCUACAUCAGGGAGCGAGAAGGGAGAACCA
Molecule: long non-coding RNA, 714 nt
Filed under: Rattus norvegicus (Norway rat)
Lineage: Eukaryota; Metazoa; Chordata; Mammalia; Rodentia; Muridae
Description: long non-coding RNA NONRATT027496
Source: RNAcentral